GGGUCACUAUGCCUGGAACGGUUAGUGGCUGAAAGCUCCGGCGGCACAGGAUGGGUCUGCGGCGUAUCAGGUCGUAGGGGGUGUAACGUACCUCCUAGCCUUCGACGCGUACGGGUUGUGAGAGCAAUUGCCCGGAGAUGGAUUCUGAGACACGAAUCCAGGCCCUACGGGGCGCAGCAGGCGCGAAAACUUGACAAUGCGAGAAAUCGUGAUCAGGGGACUCCAGUUGGCUGGAUCAAAAGUCCAGUCUGAACCGACUUUAAAUCGGUCGGGUAAUAGGGGCGGGAAAGACCGGUGCCAGCCGCCGCGGUAAUACCGGCGCCCCAAGUGGUCGUCACUAUUAUUGGGCCUAAAACGUCCGUAGCCGGUUUGGUAAGUCCGUGGGUAAAUCAGACAGCCCAACUGUCUGAAUUCUGCGGGGACUGCCAGACUUGAGACCGGGAGAGGUGCGGGGUACCUGCGGGGUACCGGUAAAAUGGGAUCAUCCCGCAGAGACCACCUGUUGCGAAGGCGCCGCACUAGAACGGAUCUGACGGUCAGGGACGAAGCCUAGGGGCACGAACCGGAUUAGAUACCCGGGUAGUCCUAGGUGUAAACGCUGUGGACUUGGUGUCGGGGACCUUCUGAGGGUUUCCGGUGCCGGAGUGAAGAUGUUAAGUCCACUGCCUGGGGAGUACGGUCGCAAGGCUGAAACUUAAAGGAAUUGGCGGGGGAGCACCGCAACGAGAGGAGCGUGCGGUUU
RNAcentral lists this ribosomal RNA (742 nucleotides) under uncultured Candidatus Poseidoniales archaeon. Its description in RNAcentral is "SSU rRNA". It matches the Rfam family "Archaeal small subunit ribosomal RNA", at positions 156 to 903 of the family's 1478-position model. Lineage: Archaea; Methanobacteriati; Thermoplasmatota; Candidatus Poseidoniia; Candidatus Poseidoniales. The record is from RNAcentral.